UGUCUCACAGCUGAACGAGAAAAAGGGAAGCUGAGUACAUGUUAAGGAAAUGCCCAGGCUGCUUGCAUACUUAGAGAGUUUCGCAGGGCAAACGAGAAAUCCUUCCACACCAUACCUCAAAAUUGGUCUGCUCUUUUUCUCAGACUAGCAAAAGUUCACUGGAAGAUAUUGGUUCAAAUAGUUUCUUGUAAAGAAUUUUGAAAACGAUCUUAGAAGGGAAGAACCAUUAAGAGAAGUGAAACUGCGAUGAAGUCUUAGAAAAAUGGAAAAUAUGAAGAAGAAAUUCAGACUAAGCCCGUCUUGAUUCUGUUGAUAUAGCAAAAUCUGACUGCCUUUCAAGAUCCUGUAAUUAUGCCUUAUUACAAUAAAGUCACAAUUAAGAAUCU
Molecule: long non-coding RNA, 386 nt
Organism: Pantherophis guttatus
Lineage: Eukaryota; Metazoa; Chordata; Lepidosauria; Squamata; Colubridae
Source: RefSeq, a predicted model, not a curated record